GAUGAACGCUGGCGGCGUGCCUAAUACAUGCAAGUCGAGCGAACAGAUGAGGAGCUUGCUCCUCUGACGUUAGCGGCGGACGGGUGAGUAACACGUGGAUAACCUACCUAUAAGACUGGGAUAACUUCGGGAAACCGGAGCUAAUACCGGAUAAUAUAUUGAACCGCAUGGUUCAAUAGUGAAAGACGGUUUUGCUGUCACUUAUAGAUGGAUCCGCGCCGCAUUAGCUAGUUGGUAAGGUAACGGCUUACCAAGGCAACGAUGCGUAGCCGACCUGAGAGGGUGUCGGGCCCCACUGGAACUGAACCCGGGCCCAGACCCCUGCGGGAGGCAGCAGUAGGGACUCUCCCACAUUGGGCGAAACCCUGAGGGAGCACCGCCGCGUGAGUGAUAAUGGUUUUCGUAUCUAAAAACUCUUUUAUUAGGGAAAAACAAAUGUUAAAGUAACUAUGCACGUCUUGAGGGUACCUAACCAGAAAGCCCCGGCUAACUCCGUC
RNAcentral lists this ribosomal RNA (497 nucleotides) under uncultured bacterium. RNAcentral describes it as "partial 16S ribosomal RNA". It matches the Rfam family "Bacterial small subunit ribosomal RNA", at positions 28 to 507 of the family's 1533-position model. The record is from RNAcentral.